This is a long non-coding RNA of Dermacentor andersoni, 491 nucleotides long. RefSeq lists it as uncharacterized. NCBI's taxonomy places the organism in Eukaryota, Metazoa, Arthropoda, Arachnida, Ixodida, Ixodidae. The record is from RefSeq and is a predicted model, not a curated record.
GGAGUUUUGCAUAGUGUUCCUGUAUAUGCUCCCGCAGGGAGCAGAGUUGCGCAUACCUUUUCCGGCGCCGCUCGCACCGCUAUUCGCGGAGCGCGAUCACGUGGUGCAAAAUGACGUCAAAUGAUCAACUGCGCGCUCCGAAGCCAACUUUACGGAAAGGGUGUGACUCGUUUCUGUCAGUGCCAUCGAAAUUGCAAUCAGCGGACCGUCGAGCGCGCGUAGCAACGAUCGGCUCCGGGUUGCAGUGUGACGGGUUGCAGCGCACCAAACUACGCAAAUCGCACGGAAGGUGGCAGAGAUUUUUACGCGGUGCCGUGCGGACUGACGAGACCGGCCGGCUCCGAAAGGGACCAGGAUAUGCGAGGUCCGUUCGCCUGUUUACAGAGUUGCUUUGAAUUCUGCCCCCCAAGGCUCCAAGAACCAGCACUCAUCCCCUGCUGCCACCAGCCAUUGCUCAUCCAUUCCCUUGUACGAAAUAAAUUUGAUCUAGA